UGGGUGGAUACAGAGGGCCGGCCGCUGGCAACAUCGGUCCAAUCCUUAAAGUCAUCCUCAGUUCGGACUGGGGUCUGCAACCCGACCCCACGAAGCUGGAUUCGCUAGUAAUCGCGCAUCAGCCAUGGCGCGGUGAAUACGUUCCCGGGCCUUGUACACACCGCCCGUCAAGCCAUGAAAGCCGGGGGCGCCUGAAGUCCGUGACCGCGAGGGUCGGCCUAGGGUGAAACCGGUGAUUGGGGCUAAGUCGUAACAAGGUACC
This 262-nucleotide ribosomal RNA is filed under the name uncultured bacterium. RNAcentral's name for it is "partial 16S ribosomal RNA". It matches the Rfam family "Bacterial small subunit ribosomal RNA", at positions 1229 to 1500 of the family's 1533-position model. The record is from RNAcentral.